GUAACGAGCGCAACCCUUGUCCUUAGUUACCAGCACGUUAUGGUGGGCACUCUAAGGAGACUGCCGGUGACAAACCGGAGGAAGGUGGGGAGUGACGUCAAGUCAUCAUGGCCCUUACGGCCUGGGCUACACACGUGCUACAAUGGUCGGUACAAAGGGUUGCCAAGCCGCGAGGUGGAGCUAAUCCCAUAAAACCGAAUCGUAGUCCGGAUCGCAGUCUGCAACUCGACUGCGUGAAGUCGGAAUCGCUAGUAAUCGUGAAUCAGAAUGUCACGGUGAAUACGUUCCCGGGCCUU
Molecule: ribosomal RNA, 296 nt
Filed under: uncultured Pseudomonas sp.
Lineage: Bacteria; Pseudomonadati; Pseudomonadota; Gammaproteobacteria; Pseudomonadales; Pseudomonadaceae
Description: partial 16S ribosomal RNA
Rfam family: Bacterial small subunit ribosomal RNA
Source: RNAcentral